GGCGGCCGGAGCCCGGGAAGCCCGGGCACAAACUCCGCGGAAGCUGGCCUUCGCUGCCGCCGCGCUGCCGCGGGCCUCCCUCCCUCCGCUCGCGGCCCCGCCGAUCUACCUUCGCCCCCGGCCGAGGCCAGACCCCGCUCCACAACUCCACGCCCCUACUCCACCCCCGGCUCUCCCUCCCCUCGCCCUCUCCCUGCGGGUCCGGCCCAGCCCCUAGCGCCGCCCCGCCCUACCGCUCGGUCCAGAGCCCAGCAAGUGCCCCGAACUCGCCCCCCGCCCCCACGCCCAGGCCAGUCCGGCCAGGCCUGGUUUCCCCCUCCCGCCGCGCCCCGCCCCCGAAUCCACGUCCUACUUCGCCACCCAACUCGGCCCGGUCCGGGUUCGGCCUGCGCCCACGCCACCGGAGUCCCCGAUUCGGUCCGGUGUACGGCCACCCACCCCGCCCUUGCCUGGGUGCUGGCCUGGCCCGCUGCCUGCGCCCGCCGAGCCGGCCCAAGCGCGCGGUCCGGGUCCGGGUCCAGGUGCCGGCCUCGGUCCCGGCAGUGUUGCCGCGACUCGCCACGAGGGCUCGUUCCACGCAAGAUCGGAACCCACGCGGGGUGGGGGCCGCGGGAAGCAAGUUUCUUUAUCCUCCCCCCGCCCCCGCCGCAGGGCCGCACCGUUCCCCCACCACCCCCGCCUCACGGCGCCCCCUUUACCUGGGCAGAGCCCCCAGCCGCUGUCGCAACUUUGCUCUUCUCCACGCCGCCGGGGAAGCGGGCGAAGCGGGAGGAGGGAGGUGGCGGGGGGUGCUGGGAUCAGGCCGCUGGGCUCCGGGAGGACACGUGGGGGAGGAGGGGAAGGAGGAGGAGGAAGGGGGGGCGGGCCUGCCGUUCUCGGGGCUCCCCCUGCCAGCCCGGGGAAGCCGGAACCUCGCCGGGCAGCCGCAGACCCCGCACUGGCCACGGGGGAAGAACGGAGCCACCUUCCUCGGCCAGCCCCCGGCUCCAGGAAGGGGGGGGGUCGAGCAACGCGCUGUUCGGGUCGGAGAGCGAGCGAUUUCGCUCGUGCUCUGUGUCACUCUCUUCCCCCUGUUUUAGCCUCAGUGUAUGUUGGGGGGGCGCAAAGGGUCUUGCAUGCGGUGGGGAAGACGUCCCCGCCGGAUGCCCCGCCCCUCCCCCGGCCCCCCACUUCCCCACCCUGGGCGACCUCAGUGCGUGGUUCUGGCGCUCAGGCUCCCAGGCCGCCCGCGGGCGCAGCCCCAGCCCCGGCGCCGAAGUGGGACAGGUGCUGGGGAAAGGAAAAUGCCGGGGCUCGCCGCCUCGCCUCUCGUCUCCGGGGCGGCCCACCUCUCCGGCUGCAAACCCCCUGGGCCACCCUCAGUGGGCAACACCACCUGGGCGUGGAGGCAUCUGGGGAUGGAGGCGAGAUGGGGGGCGGGUGGCAAGAGACCCGAGGGAGGAAGAAGGAAGAAGGGGAUGA
This 1461-nucleotide long non-coding RNA is filed under the name Papio anubis (olive baboon). Its description in RNAcentral is "lncRNA (ENSPANG00000043628.1)". Lineage: Eukaryota; Metazoa; Chordata; Mammalia; Primates; Cercopithecidae. The record is from RNAcentral.